Molecule: long non-coding RNA, 424 nt
Filed under: Nicotiana tabacum (common tobacco)
Lineage: Eukaryota; Viridiplantae; Streptophyta; Magnoliopsida; Solanales; Solanaceae
Description: long non-coding RNA (NTAB_LNC001578)
Source: RNAcentral
AUAGUUCUUGAUAAAAACCUGCCUGUAUCUUACUGCAAAAAAUGGUAUAUCUGGGUAGAAAAAUUGAUCAUUGUUUUGCCCGCUUGUAUAAAAGCCAGUUGCUUGUAUGUUAUCAUCUUAUUGGAAAUCGAAGUAUUAGAAGCAUUUAUAUGGAGCUCCAAUUUCUUUGUUGCGUGAACAUUCAUUCUUAUACUUUUGCAAUGUGUAUAGUUUAAAAUUCAGUUAAUUGAUUAUUGUCUGUCUUGUUUUUUUAUUCCAGGGAUCAGAAUUAGGAAGUGGCACACCAUCACCAAUUGAUGAUCGACCAAGUACCAAUAAGUAAUCAAUUUUAGGAUCAACUAUGAUAUUUUUGGUUGUUAUUGUUGAAGAACACUUUGAAACUUUAAUAUUUUGAUGAUGUAACUUUGGAGUACUUGAGUUUUAC